UAAGGAAUAUUGGUCAAUGGGCGCAAGCCUGAACCAGCCAUGCCGCGUGCAGGAGGACGGCCCUAUGGGUUGCAAACUGCUUUUGUCAGGGAAUAAACCCCCGCUCGUGAGCGGGGCUGAAGGUACCUGAAGAAUAAGCAUCGGCUAACUCCGUGCCAGCAGCCGCGGUAAUACGGAGGAUGCAAGCGUUAUCCGGAUUCAUUGGGUUUAAAGGGUGCGCAGGCGGAUCGGUAAGUCAGGGGUGAAAUCCCACAGCUCAACUGUGGAACUGCCUUUGAUACUGUCAGUCUAGAGUAUAGUUGAAGUGGGCGGAAUGUGUCAUGUAGCGGUGAAAUGCUUAGAUAUGACACAGAACACCGAUCGCGAAGGCAGCUCGCUAAGCUAUAACUGACGCUCAUGCACGAAAGCGUGGGGAUCAAACAG
Molecule: ribosomal RNA, 423 nt
Filed under: uncultured bacterium
Lineage: Bacteria
Description: bacterial SSU rRNA
Rfam family: Bacterial small subunit ribosomal RNA
Source: RNAcentral